GACAGCUUGUCCGAGUGGUUAAGGAGACAGACUCGAAAUCUGUUGGGCUCUGCCCGCGCAAGUUCGAAUCCUGCAGCUGUCG
Molecule: transfer RNA, 82 nt
Organism: Blastocystis sp.
Lineage: Eukaryota; Bigyra; Opalinata; Blastocystidae
Rfam family: tRNA
About the family: Transfer RNA (tRNA) molecules are approximately 80 nucleotides in length. Their secondary structure includes four short double-helical elements and three loops (D, anti-codon, and T loops).
Source: Rfam